This 493-nucleotide ribosomal RNA is filed under the name uncultured bacterium. RNAcentral's name for it is "bacterial SSU rRNA". It matches the Rfam family "Bacterial small subunit ribosomal RNA", at positions 18 to 507 of the family's 1533-position model. The record is from RNAcentral.
UCUGGCUCAGAUUGAACGCUGCGGCAUGCCUUACACAUGCAAGUCGAACGGCAGCACGGGAGCAAUCCUGGUGGCGAGUGGCGAACGGGUGAGUAAUAUAUCGGAACGUGCCCAGUCGUGGGGGAUAACGUAGCGAAAGCUACGCUAAUACCGCAUACGAUCUAUGGAUGAAAGCGGGGGAUCGCAAGACCUCGCGCGAUUGGAGCGGCCGAUAUCAGAUUAGGUAGUUGGUGGGGUAAAAGCCUACCAAGCCUUCGAUCUGUAGCUGGUCUGAGAGGACGACCAGCCACACUGGAACUGAGACACGGUCCAGACUCCUACGGGAGGCAGCAGUGGGGAAUUUUGGACAAUGGGCGCAAGCCUGAUCCAGCAAUGCCGCGUGCAGGAUGAAGGCCUUCGGGUUGUAAACUGCUUUUGUACGGAACGAAACGGCUCUUUCUAAUAAAGGGAGCUAAUGACGGUACCGUAAGAAUAAGCACCGGCUAACUACGUG